This 84-nucleotide transfer RNA is filed under the name Candidatus Pacearchaeota archaeon. Its description in RNAcentral is "tRNA-Leu". It matches the Rfam family "tRNA". Rfam says of the family: Transfer RNA (tRNA) molecules are approximately 80 nucleotides in length. Their secondary structure includes four short double-helical elements and three loops (D, anti-codon, and T loops). Lineage: Archaea; Nanobdellati. The record is from RNAcentral.
GCGGGAGUGCCGGAGCGGCCAAACGGGACAGCCUCAAGAGCUGUUGGCUUAGUGCCUGCAUAGGUUCGAUUCCUAUCUCCCGCA